Molecule: ribosomal RNA, 301 nt
Filed under: uncultured bacterium
Lineage: Bacteria
Description: partial 16S ribosomal RNA
Rfam family: Bacterial small subunit ribosomal RNA
Source: RNAcentral
CAGUAGCCGCGGUAAAACGGAGGGGGCUAGCGUUGUUCGGAAUUACUGGGCGUAAAGCGCACGUAGGCGGCUUGGUAAGUUAGAGGUGAAAGCCUGGAGCUCAACUCCAGAAUUGCCUUUAAGACUGCCGAGCUAGCAGGUGAGAGAGGUAAGUGGAAUUCCGAGUGUAGAGGUGAAAUUCGUAGAUAUUCGGAAGAACACCAGUGGCGAAGGCGGCUUACUGGCUCAUACUGGACGCUGAGGUGCGAAAGCGUGGGGAGCAAACAGGAUUAGAUACCCCGGUAGUCCCUGUCUCUUAUAC